Molecule: long non-coding RNA, 298 nt
Filed under: Arachis ipaensis
Lineage: Eukaryota; Viridiplantae; Streptophyta; Magnoliopsida; Fabales; Fabaceae
Description: long non-coding RNA (AIPA_LNC000444)
Source: RNAcentral
CAGAGAGACACAACAUUAAAAAUGAAGCACUCUCAUAUAUAACUCAUCUCCUAAACCUCCUUUUCAUUCUUCUCUUCUCUCUUCUCUUCCAUGAUCAUCUCCAUGUCUCUCUAAAAAAACACACACACAACAAAAACAACCUUCACUCUUCAAACCUCAUCAUCGUAAACACCAUCUCGUUCUUCUUAUAAUCUCCAUCAUCUCGUCACCCGAGAUUUCGGCCCAAAACACCAUUGGACCAUAUAUCUCGGAUCACCAAAAAAAAAAUACCUUCAAAAUCUCGUUUCAAGUUUCANNN